RNAcentral lists this ribosomal RNA (115 nucleotides) under Bacillus cereus BGSC 6E1. Lineage: Bacteria; Bacillati; Bacillota; Bacilli; Caryophanales; Bacillaceae. The record is from RNAcentral. RNAcentral also lists the same sequence under 13 other names.
UGCCUGGCAACGUCCUACUCUCACAGGGACAAGGUCCCAACUACCAUCGGCGCUAGAGAGCUUAACUUCCGUGUUCGGUAUGGGAACGGGUGUGACCUCUCUGCCAUCAUUACCA